GGAGCAAACGAAGUGAAGCAUGUUAUUUAAUACGAAAGUACGCGUAAAAUCUUACCAGUUCUUGCAUAGCCAAUCCCUCUUAUUUUUAUAAUAAACUACUCUCUUCUUAUCCAUAGGAGGGAGGAGAAGAUUUUUAAAUUUAAGACUGGAUUGAGUGAUAAUUAUUUAUUAAUAAAUUUUAUUAGCUUUAAAAUAGUGUAAGAAUAUUUAUUUAUAUUAAUUUAUCCGUUUACAGGUGUUGCAUG
RNAcentral lists this ribosomal RNA (245 nucleotides) under Hebeloma incarnatulum. RNAcentral's name for it is "partial small subunit ribosomal RNA". The record is from RNAcentral. Lineage: Eukaryota; Fungi; Basidiomycota; Agaricomycetes; Agaricales; Hymenogastraceae.